RNAcentral lists this ribosomal RNA (390 nucleotides) under Cryptosporidium parvum. Its description in RNAcentral is "SSU rRNA". It matches the Rfam family "Eukaryotic small subunit ribosomal RNA", at positions 670 to 1064 of the family's 1831-position model. The record is from RNAcentral. Lineage: Eukaryota; Apicomplexa; Conoidasida; Eucoccidiorida; Cryptosporidiidae.
UUAAUAAUUUAUAUAUAAUAUUUUAUUAAUAUUUAUAUAGUAUUAACAUAAUUCAUAUUACUAUUUUAUAGUAUAUGAAAUUUUACUUUGAGAAAAUUAGAGUGCUUAAAGCAGGCAUUAGCCUUGAAUACUCCAGCAUGGAAUAAUAUAAAAGAUUUUUAUCUUUUUUAUUGGUUCUAAGAUAAAAAUAAUGAUUAAUAGGGACAGUUGGGGGCAUUUGUAUUUAACAGUCAGAGGUGAAAUUCUUAGAUUUGUUAAAGACAAACUAGUGCGAAAGCAUUUGCCAAGGAUGUUUUCAUUAAUCAAGAACGAAAGUUAGGGGAUCGAAGACGAUCAGAUACCGUCGUAGUCUUAACCAUAAACUAUGCCAACUAGAGAUUGGAGGUUGUU